AGCAGCACCACCACCAGCAAGGUAGGUGAGAUCAGAAGGAUGCCCCCCUGCAGAUGGGAGGGCACCACGGCCACCGUGGAAAGAAGGCGAUGCAAGCAGAAACUUAGGAAAGCGAUGGACACAUUGUCUUCCCCUUCUUAG
This 141-nucleotide ribosomal RNA is filed under the name Triticum aestivum (bread wheat). RNAcentral's name for it is "partial small subunit ribosomal RNA". The record is from RNAcentral. Lineage: Eukaryota; Viridiplantae; Streptophyta; Magnoliopsida; Poales; Poaceae.